GGUGGAGUGGUGUAGAGGUUAGCACACCCGACCGGACAUUGGGAUACCCAGAGUUCAAAUCCUGGCUCCGCCG
This is a non-coding RNA of Ixodes scapularis (black-legged tick), 73 nucleotides long. The record is from Rfam. NCBI's taxonomy places the organism in Eukaryota, Metazoa, Arthropoda, Arachnida, Ixodida, Ixodidae.